AUUGAACGCUGGCGGCAGGCCUAACACAUGCAAGUCGAACGGUAGCACAGAGAGCUUGCUCUCGGGUGACGAGUGGCGGACGGGUGAGUAAUGUCUGGGAAACUGCCUGAUGGAGGGGGAUAACUACUGGAAACGGUAGCUAAUACCGCAUAAUGUCGCAAGACCAAAGAGGGGGACCUUCGGGCCUCUUGCCAUCAGAUGUGCCCAGAUGGGAUUAGCUAGUAGGUGGGGUAACGGCUCACCUAGGCGACGAUCCCUAGCUGGUCUGAGAGGAUGACCAGCCACACUGGAACUGAGACACGGUCCAGACUCCUACGGGAGGCAGCAGUGGGGAAUAUUGCACAAUGGGCGCAAGCCUGAUGCAGCCAUGCCGCGUGUAUGAAGAAGGCCUUCGGGUUGUAAAGUACUUUCAGCGGGGAGGAAGGUGUUGUGGUUAAUAACCACAGCAAUUGACGUUACCCGCAGAAGAAGCACCGGCUAACUCCGUGCCAGCAGCCGCGGUAAUACGGAGGGUGCAAGCGUUAAUCGGAAUUACUGGGCGUAAAGCGCACGCAGGCGGUCUGUCAAGUCGGAUGUGAAAUCCCCGGGCUCAACCUGGGAACUGCAUUCGAAACUGGCAGGCUAGAGUCUUGUAGAGGGGGGUAGAAUUCCAGGUGUAGCGGUGAAAUGCGUAGAGAUCUGGAGGAAUACCGGUGGCGAAGGCGGCCCCCUGGACAAAGACUGACGCUCAGGUGCGAAAGCGUGGGGAGCAAACAGGAUUAGAUACCCUGGUAGUCCACGCCGUAAACGAUGUCGAUUUGGAGGUUGUGCCCUUGAGGCGUGGCUUCCGGAGCUAACGCGUUAAAUCGACCGCCUGGGGAGUACGGCCGCAAGGUUAAAACUCAAAUGAAUUGACGGGGGCCCGCACAAGCGGUGGAGCAUGUGGUUUAAUUCGAUGCAACGCGAAGAACCUUACCUGGUCUUGACAUCCACAGAACUUUCCAGAGAUGGAUUGGUGCCUUCGGGAACUGUGAGACAGGUGCUGCAUGGCUGUCGUCAGCUCGUGUUGUGAAAUGUUGGGUUAAGUCCCGCAACGAGCGCAACCCUUAUCCUUUGUUGCCAGCGGUUAGGCCGGGAACUCAAAGGAGACUGCCAGUGAUAAACUGGAGGAAGGUGGGGAUGACGUCAAGUCAUCAUGGCCCUUACGACCAGGGCUACACACGUGCUACAAUGGCGCAUACAAAGAGAAGCGACCUCGCGAGAGCAAGCGGACCUCAUAAAGUGCGUCGUAGUCCGGAUUGGAGUCUGCAACUCGACUCCAUGAAGUCGGAAUCGCUAGUAAUCGUAGAUCAGAAUGCUACGGUGAAUACGUUCCCGGGCCUUGUACACACCGCCCGUCACACCAUGGGAGUGGGUUGCAAAAGAAGUAGGUAGCUUAACCUUCGGGAGGGCGCUUACCACUUUGUGAUUCAUGACUGGGGUG
This 1462-nucleotide ribosomal RNA is filed under the name bacterium symbiont of Bactrocera correcta. RNAcentral describes it as "bacterial SSU rRNA". It matches the Rfam family "Bacterial small subunit ribosomal RNA". The record is from RNAcentral.